GAUGAACGCUAGCGAUAGGCCUAACACAUGCAAGUCGAGGGGCAUCACAUGAGGCAGCAAUGCCGAUGGUGGCGACCGGCGCACGGGUGAGUAACACGUAUGCAACCUGCCUUCAACAAGGGGAUAACCCGUUGAAAAACGGACUAAUACCCUAUAACACAGGGGUCCCGCAUGGGAAUAUUUGUUAAAGGACAACCGGUUGAAGAUGGGCAUGCGUUCCAUUAGCUAGUUGGCGGGGUAACGGCCCACCAAGGCAACGAUGGAUAGGGGAACUGAGAGGUUUAUCCCCCACACUGGUACUGAGACACGGACCAGACUCCUACGGGAGGCAGCAGUGAGGAAUAUUGGUCAAUGGACGCAAGUCUGAACCAGCCACGUCGCGUGAAGGAAGACGGCCCUACGGGUUGUAAACUUCUUUUAUACGGGAAUAAAGUGCCCCACGCGUGGGGUUUUGCAUGUACCGUAUGAAUAAGGAUCGGCUAACUCCGUGCCAGCAG
Molecule: ribosomal RNA, 497 nt
Filed under: uncultured bacterium
Lineage: Bacteria
Description: bacterial SSU rRNA
Rfam family: Bacterial small subunit ribosomal RNA
Source: RNAcentral